RNAcentral lists this ribosomal RNA (499 nucleotides) under uncultured bacterium. RNAcentral's name for it is "partial 16S ribosomal RNA". It matches the Rfam family "Bacterial small subunit ribosomal RNA", at positions 28 to 507 of the family's 1533-position model. The record is from RNAcentral.
GACGAACGCUGGCGGCGUGCUUAACACAUGCAAGUCGAACGGGCCCGCCCCUGUUUUUGGGGGUGGGUUGAGUGGCGAACGGGUGAGUAUCACGUGAGUAACCUGCCCCCUGCUCCUGGAUAACUGCUUGAAAGGGCGGCUAAUACGGGGUGUGCCGGCUGGUCCGCAUGGGCCUGGUCGGGAUAGUUUCAUCUUCGGGUGUUUCGGUGGGGGAUGGGCUCGCGGCCUAUCAGCUUGUUGGUGGGGUGAUGGCCCACCAAGGCGGUGACGGGUAGCCGGCCUGAGGGGGUGGGCGGCCACACUGGGACUGAGACACGGCCCAGCCUCCUGCGGGAGGCAGCAGUGGGGGGUAUUGCACAAUGGGCGGAAGCCUGAUGCAGCGACGUCGCGUGAGGGAUGGAGGCCUUCGGGUUGUGAACCUCUUUCUCCGGUGGUGAAGGCCCUGUCCGUUGCGGCGGGGUUGACGGUAGCCGGGUAUGAAGCGCCGGCUAACUACGUG